This 912-nucleotide ribosomal RNA is filed under the name uncultured archaeon. Its description in RNAcentral is "bacterial SSU rRNA". It matches the Rfam family "Archaeal small subunit ribosomal RNA", at positions 16 to 905 of the family's 1478-position model. The record is from RNAcentral.
GCCGGACCCUACUGCUAUCGGGGUGGGACUAAGACAUGCGAGUCGAGCGUCUCCAGCUAUGGUGAGACGCGGCAGACGGCUCAGUAACACGUGGCUAACCUACCCUCAGGACAGGGACAAACCCGGGAAACUGGGGCUAAUACCCGAUAGGCGAGGGCGCCUGGAAUGGUUCUUCACCCAAAGGGCUUUGGAAGCAUGCUUUUCAAAGUCGCCUGGGGAUGGGGCCGCGUCCGAUCAGGUUGUUGGUGAGGUAACGGCUCACCAAGCCUAUAACCGGUACGGGCCGUGAGAGCGGUAGCCCGGAGAUGGGCACUGAGACAAGGGCCCAGGCCCCACGGGGCGCAGCAGUCGCGAAAACUCCGCAAUGCACGAAGGUGUGACGGGGCUACCCCGAGUGCCGUCCGCUGAGGAUGGCUUUUCCUCGGUGUAACUAGCCGGGGGAAUAAGGAGAGGGCAAGACUGGUGUCAGCCGCCGCGGUAAUACCAGCUCUCCGAGUGGUAGGGAUGAUUAUUGGGCUUAAAGCGUCCGUAGCCGGCUUAGCAAGUCUCCUGUUAAAUUCAGCGACCUAAUCGUUGAGCCGCGGGAGAUACUACUAGGCUAGGAGGCGGGAGAGGUCGACGGUAUUUCCGGGGUAGGGGUGAAAUCCUAUAAUCCCGGGAGGACCACCAGUGGCGAAGGCUGUCGACUAGAACGCGCUCGACGGUGAGGGACGAAAGCUGGGGGAGCGAACCGGAUUAGAUACCCGGGUAGUCCCAGCCGUAAACGAUGCGGGCUAGGUGUUGGGGUGGCUACGUGCCACUUCAGUGCCGCAGGGAAGCCAUUAAGCCCGCCGCCUGGGGAGUACGGCCGCAAGGCUGAAACUUAAAGGAAUUGGCGGGGGAGCACCACAAGGCGUGAAGCUUGCGGUUCAA